This 253-nucleotide ribosomal RNA is filed under the name uncultured bacterium. Its description in RNAcentral is "partial 16S ribosomal RNA". It matches the Rfam family "Bacterial small subunit ribosomal RNA", at positions 524 to 776 of the family's 1533-position model. The record is from RNAcentral.
UACAGAGGUCCCGAGCGUUGUUCGGAUUCACUGGGCGUAAAGGAUGCGUAGGUGGUGAGGUAAGUCGGAUGUGAAAUCUCCGGGCUCAACCCGGAAAUGGCAUUGGAAACUACCUUGCUGGAGGAUUUGAGGGGGGAUUGGAAUACUUGGUGUAGCAGUGAAAUGCGUAGAUAUCAAGUGGAACACCAGUGGCGAAGGCGAAUCCCUGGAAAAUACCUGACACUGAGGCACGAAAGCUAGGGGAGCAAACAGG